This 818-nucleotide ribosomal RNA is filed under the name uncultured bacterium. RNAcentral's name for it is "bacterial SSU rRNA". It matches the Rfam family "Bacterial small subunit ribosomal RNA", at positions 104 to 909 of the family's 1533-position model. The record is from RNAcentral.
GGGUGAGUAACGCGUGGAGAACCUAUCUUACAGUUGGGGAUAACCUGGCGAAAGUCGGACUAAUCCCGAAUACACUCUUUAAGUAGCAUUACUGAAAGAGGAAAGGUGCUACGGCAUCGCUGUAAGGUGGCUCCGCGUCGGAUUAGCUAGCUGGUGGGGUAACGGCUCACCAGGGCAACGAUCCGUAGCUGGUCUGAGAGGAUGAUCAGCCACACUGGGACUGAGACACGGCCCAGACUCCUAUGGGAGGCAGCAGUGGGGAAUCUUCCGCAAUGGGCGAAAGCCUGACGGAGCAACGCCGCGUGAACGAAGAAGGCCUUCGGGUCGUAAAGUUCUGUCCUCAGGGAAGAACCCUCAUGGUAGGGAAUGACCAUGAGCUGACGGUACCUGGGAAGGAAGCCCUGGCUAACUACGUGCCAGCAGCCGCGGUAAUACGUAGAGGGCAAGCGUUGUCCGGAAUCACUGGGCGUAAAGGGUACGUAGGCGGAUAUAUAAGUCAAAUGUGAAAGGCACCGGCUUAACCGGUGAGCUGCAUUUGAAACUGUAUAUCUUGAGUUCAGGAGAGGAGAGCGGAAUUCCUGGUGUAGCGGUGGAAUGCGUAGAUAUCAGGAAGAACACCAGUGGCGAAGGCGGCUCUCUGGCCUGAAACUGACGCUCUGGUACGAAAGCUGGGGUAGCAAACGGGAUUAGAUACCCCGGUAGUCCCAGCCGUAAACGAUGGACACUAGGUGUUGGGGGUCCGAAUCCUUCAGUGCCGAAGUUAACGCAUUAAGUGUCCCGCCUGGGGAGUACGGUCGCAAGACUGAAACUCAAAGGAA